UGGCGGGUCUCCCCGCAUCGUGGCGCGGUGAACCUGGUCAGGUCCGGAAGGAAGCAGCCACAGCUGCUCACCACGAGUGCCGGGGGUCAGGCUCGCCACCCC
This 102-nucleotide signal recognition particle RNA is filed under the name Methyloversatilis universalis FAM5. RNAcentral describes it as "RNA component of signal recognition particle". It matches the Rfam family "Bacterial small signal recognition particle RNA". Rfam says of the family: The signal recognition particle (SRP) is a universally conserved ribonucleoprotein involved in the co-translational targeting of proteins to membranes. Archaeal SRP consists of a 7S RNA and homologues of the eukaryotic SRP19 and SRP54 proteins. In most bacteria, the SRP consists of a 4.5S RNA and the Ffh protein (a homologue of the eukaryotic SRP54 protein). Lineage: Bacteria; Pseudomonadati; Pseudomonadota; Betaproteobacteria; Nitrosomonadales; Sterolibacteriaceae. The record is from RNAcentral.